This is a long non-coding RNA of Pundamilia nyererei, 1356 nucleotides long. RefSeq lists it as uncharacterized. The record is from RefSeq and is a predicted model, not a curated record. Lineage: Eukaryota; Metazoa; Chordata; Actinopteri; Cichliformes; Cichlidae. The transcript has 5 exons.
UUGUGUCUCUUUCUCACUCUUGUUCUCUCUCUUUCACGCCGACUCGCUCUCGAGGGCAAAUGAGUGGUGCGCUGAGCCGGAGCUCUUACUGGGACAGGUGCCAAUUGCAAACAAAAGAAAUUAACAGGCAAUAAGCGAAAAAAAAGGGGGGGGGAAGCGAAUUGUCGAAUUGCAAGUUGUUGAGAUGUCACCAGUAGCUGUGCACGUUACGUCGCCGCAUGACCGGUUUGCAUUAUUGUUGCGUUACGUUAUCAAGUAUUAAAGUAAAACAGAGGUUUGAAUACUUUGCUUCACUUAUUCCAGUGAAGGCAUUUCACUUGAGAAGAGGGAGGGAGUAAUGUGAGAGAGAAGCAUAUAGACUUGUGAAUUAUUCAUGUGCUCAGCCAAGGCUGAGACUGGACUGGUUGUGCUAUUUGCAUGCAUCAGACAUGCUGUUUGUCUGUUUGCUAACAUUCCUCAUUCAAAGACUUGUUAACUAGCAGCCGGGCUUAGCUGGAGUCUCGCAGACAGCCUCAUGGCCUCCUAUUGUUUCAGGCCUCACCGGGCCUGGACCCAGCUGGUGGCAGGCAAGCCAUGCAGCCCUGAGCUUUGGGUUGAGACUGUGGUUGAAGGAGGGAUUUGUGCCUGGAGGUGAGACUGACGUGGGCACUGAGGCUGGAGCUGAGGCUGAGGCACGGCUGUGAACGGGACAUUCUGAGGGAAAUCACGGGGUUAUGCAAGAAGCACCAAACUGGAGCUUAUGGCUUUCUCCUCUUCUUGACAGAGAUGUGGAUCAAAGCGGGAAGAGCUUCCGAACCUCACCGGACAUUUAGCGUCUUUGCUCUGGUAACUGGCAGUGAGACAGUUUUGAUCUCCAAGCGCAAACAGUUUUGGCCAGAGAGAGAAAUUAUGCAAACACACACUGGCGAUUAAGUAACAGAUUUUCCCUCUUGGGUUUUUCCACAUGGAGACUACCUGACAUGCUGCUGAAACCAUGAUGGAGGGAGGAGGUUAUAGGCCAGUGGGCCCUUCCAGCCCCUUUUCUCGAUGCAUGUUAUAUAGCAGAUUCUGUAGAGGCUGUCUGAAGAGCUGAUGGAGAGCAGACCCAACAAACAAGUGUCCAAUUUGUAUGAGAAGAUCUUCGAGGGAAGAUCCAGCUCGUAAUCUGGCUUUAAAGAACCUGUGUGAGGACAGGGCAGUGAGGACAGGGCCCAGUAGAGGACGUCGGGCCCUUGGGCCACUCUCAUCAAGGCAUCUAUUGUUAACUUCAUGAACACCAAAGGAGCAGAAACUGAUCAACAACCCCCUCAACUGACCAGAUCAACACCCCAUCGGUUCAACUAACUUCUUUCUUUUUUUUUUCUUCUUUUUUUUUGA